UCUACGGGGGGCAGCAGUGAGGAAUAUUGGUCAAUGGGCGCGAGCCUGAACCAGCCAAGUCGCGUGAGGGAAGACGGCCCUACGGGUUGUAAACCUCUUUUGCCGGGGAGCAACGUGCGCCACGUGUGGCGCCACUGAGAGUCCCCGGGGAAAAAGCAUCGGCUAACUCCGUGCCAGCAGCCGCGGUAAUACGGAGGAUGCGAGCGUUAUCCGGAUUUAUUGGGUUUAAGGGGUGCGUAGGCGGCGCGUUAAGUCAGGGGUAAAAUUGAGGGGCUCAACCCCUUCCCGCCAUUGAAACUGGCGCUCUUGAGUGGAAGAGAAGUAUGCGGAAUGCGUGGUGUAGCGGUGAAAUGCAUAGAUAUCACGCAGAACCCCGAUUGCGAAGGCAGCAUGCCGGCUUCCUACUGACGCUGAAGCACGAAAGCGUGGGGAUCGAACAGGAUUAGAUACCCGAGUAGUC
RNAcentral lists this ribosomal RNA (460 nucleotides) under uncultured bacterium. RNAcentral describes it as "partial 16S ribosomal RNA". It matches the Rfam family "Bacterial small subunit ribosomal RNA", at positions 338 to 795 of the family's 1533-position model. The record is from RNAcentral.